AUACGAAGGGGGCUAGCGUUGUUCGGAAUUACUGGGCGUAAAGCGCGCGGAGGCGGACUGAUCAGUUGGGGGUGAAAUCCCAGGGCUUAACCCUGGAACUGCCUCCAAUACUGUCAGUCUUGAGUUCGGGAGAGGUGAGUGGAAUUCCUAGUGUAGAGGUGAAAUUCGUAGAUAUUAGGAAGAACACCAGUGGCGAAGGCGGCUCACUGGCCCGAUACUGACGCUGAGGCGCGAAAGCGUGGGGAGCAAACAGGAUUAGAAACCCUAGUAGUCC
Molecule: ribosomal RNA, 274 nt
Filed under: uncultured bacterium
Lineage: Bacteria
Description: partial 16S ribosomal RNA
Rfam family: Bacterial small subunit ribosomal RNA
Source: RNAcentral